This 8788-nucleotide long non-coding RNA is filed under the name Homo sapiens (human). Its description in RNAcentral is "LHRI_LNC1138.8". The record is from RNAcentral. Lineage: Eukaryota; Metazoa; Chordata; Mammalia; Primates; Hominidae.
GACCUCCCACCCACCAUACAGGGGAACACUCGGCAGAGCCAGAGGCCUGGGCCCAAGUCCUGCCACCAGCUGGCUGUGAAACUGUGGUACAGCACCUUGUGUCCUGCCACCAGCCGGCUGUGAAACUGGUACAGCACCUUGUCCUCAGGUCCUUGGUUUCCUCACUUGUAAAUUCAUGGUUCUCCAUGGCAUCUCUGGUCUUCAACAUUAUUUUGCAUAGAGUCUCAGAAGCUUUAGUGUGAGCGGAUGAUAUGGGCACGAAGCAAGGCACCCAGAAGUGGGGGCAACUACUCUGCUUUCUAAAAUGCAAGGGAACCGGAAAAUCCAGGAGCCGUGCCAAAUGAGAAGAGGAACAAAUGGAGGAACAUCCCAGUCAAGUGACAUUCCUAGUGACAUUCACCAGAACAGAGUCAAGCUUUGGAUCCCAUGUUCUGUGACUUCCUCUUCACCACGCUUCCUCCACACACGUAGCAGCUCAAGGGUUUCUGAUGAGUGGGAGGCUUGACUAGAAUUGAAUUCGAGACAAGCACAAAGAUCAUGAUGCAAAUGAAAGGGACAGAGGGGAGAGAAACAGAAAACAAGUGAGUCAAAUUUGGUCUAUGUUCCCUUUAUGAGCUGUAACGCACACCAUGAAGGUCUGCGGCUUGGCUAUUGAGUCAGUGAGAGCGUGAACCUACUAUUAGAAGAAAAACUCUGAAUACGUCUGAACGUCAGAAAGAACGAAGUUUGGACACAUUGUCUUUAAGAACUGUAACACUCACCCCAAGGGUUUAUGGAUUCAUUCUUGAAAUCAGUGAAACCAAAAGCUUUCCAAAGUUUAACACACAGGGAAAUGACUUACUGCAAAGAACCACUCUUCCCCACGAGACUUCGAGAAGACCCGCUGUCACGGACUGAGUUGUGUCCUCUUAAAAUUCAGAUGUUGGAGUCCAAACCCCCAGUAACUCAGAGUGUGAACGUAUUUGAAGAGGUCUUUAAAGAGGUGAUGAAGGGAGAGAGACCCCAUGAGCUCGUCAAGCUCCUUCUGUGACUGAUCAGAGAUCCCACCGUGAGUCCAGCUCCUGGUCCCAUGCUCUGGAUAUAUCGGUCCCUGGCAGCGUGGCUCCAUCUCCGUAGCCUGCUUUUGACAAAAGUGGAUACAUAAAUCUAGGGGCCACCUAGCUAGUUCUAAUAAGACUUUGGAAGUCAAAAGCUAAAGAAGACCAGGGGACCAAGCUGGAAAUCAGGCUCUGCAAUCAGAUUCCAGAGGGAAUGCCAUUCCACCCAAUCACCUAGCCACAACGGUUCCCUUCCUUCAAGAUGCUGCAUGCCUCUUCAGGCGAAUGGAUUACCUUGUAAGAGUGACCUGAAAAAGCGUUAGCCCAGCCACACCGAGGCUUAACUGAGCCAUUUGAUUCUCACUGCCUCUCUCUGUUGCUUCCUCUUGCUUUCAACUACAGGGUCUUUCUGUUUAGGUGGUGAAAAAAAUGAUCGUUAAAAACAAUAAACCUGGGGACCUCUGAUACCAUGAGCCCAGCCAGAGAUCUGUGUCAAGCAAAUCCUUGCAGACAGUUCUGCCAGCCUGCAGAUGGCUGUUUGCCUCUCGUGGAUUUGAUAAGUGCUCAUUUAUGCCCAGAGGCCUCUGGGAGAUAGUGCUCAUGCUGAGCUUACAAACUGAAAACCAUUAUCUGUUCCUUACCUGAGACCCUGGGGAGCAGUCAGCUCACUCCCUGCCGAUGGCCUAAGAUAGGUACUGAUGUUACAGUUGAGGAAUAUCUAGGAGUAACAAACUUAAGUAGCUGGAAUAUGCCAAUUUUGACAAUUUGACAACAUCAUUAUAAACAUUCUGAAGUACUUACAAGUCUUUUUUUUUUUUUUUUUUUUUUUUGGGAGACAGAGUCUUACUUACUCUGUCACAGACUAAAGUGCAGUGGCGUGAUCUCGGCUCACUACAACCUUUGCCUUCUAGAUUCAAGCGAUUUUCCUGCCUCAGCCUCCCGAGUAGCUGAGAUUACAGUCACACACUAAGGUGCCCGGCUAAUUUUUGUAUUUUCAGUGGAGAAGGGGUUUCACCACGUUGGUCAGGCUGGUCUGGAACUCCUGACCUCAGGUGAUCUGCCUGCCUCAGCCUCCCAAAGUGUUGGGAUUACAGGCAUGAGCCACCGUGCCUGGCCAUGCAAUACUUAGAGUCACAGAAGUUUAUGGUUAGAUAAUUCUCACAGAGGUGACCUGGUUCAGCUCUACCAUCAAGGUCAUUGAGACACUGGCACCUUGCCCAAGGUCAUGCCAACCUGGGAUUAGGCGUUUCCUGCCCGAUGCCCUUUCCCCACUUUCCACACCUAUUGUUCAUACUAAUUUAUUGCAGGUCUUAUUUCUACAGCCUCCUUUAAUUGCUUUAUGUUCACGGGACACUGUCUUCAGGAUAAGAUUGCAAGUAUUUUUUUAUAUUACUUCCUCUUGUCCCUGAUACUGUAGGGUUUCAAGCUGAAACCAGUCAAAAAGGACUUCAUGCUGAGUAACUUUUGCCCAGGCAGCAGGGCUGAGGAGCUGGGGACGAAGGAGAGACCCUGGCUGUAUUCUUUCUGAUAGGUGUUACACAUCAGGCUUGAGUUAAUUUGGUCAGGUUCAAUAAUGUGCUGCAGUUACUCUGUAAACACUUAGAAUCGUGGAGUGUCAGGUCUGGAAGGAGAUUUAAAGACAACCUGGUCUUAUGGUUCUCUAACUGUGCUCCAAGGAACCCUAGGGGCUCCUGUGUGUGGGGGUCGGGGUGUGCCUUCUGGUCAGCCUCUAAGAGCAGGUGGGCUGGAGAGCUGAGCUGACUUAGGCCUAAGCACUGGCCCCUUUUCUUGAAAUAUUUUAUUUAAUGGGGCUGUAUCAGAUUUCUUACAAACAAAGGGCUUGGAUGAUAGACCAUGGUCGACAGCUAUGAAUCUAGUCCAGCUCUUUCAUUUUCACUGUGAGCAAAUGAGGCUUGGAAUGAGGGAAGAGGGACUAGACCACUGCGUGCAGAGCUGCACACAUAGCUAGUGACAGGAGCCAGGAUGGAAACUCUUUGCAGAUGCCCCCUCGAUACCUUGCAGAGAUGGCCUGGUCCCUCUAAGAAGCUAUGUUUUUGGCUUGAUGGAGAGAUUGAACUACAGAAACCAACUCUCUAUGGUGGCUGCUCAUCUGGGAAAAGAAAGGGACAAAAUCUACACUUACUGAGUGACUACUGUGUCACAGGCAUGGAAAAUACAUUCACUCAUUCAGAGCAGGUGUGUGGAGCACCUCCUGCAUAGCAGAUGCUGCCCUGCCUGUCAUGGGUACUCUUUAAGCCUCACAAGCCUGCAGGGGAAGCUAUCACGUGCUCCAGAGCUGAAGGCUCUCAGGGUUAUGCAGCUGGCUCAUCAGUGGCAGACCCACAUCUGAACUGACACCCUUUGAACUCCAAAUCUGCUGUGCCACAUCACAUCCUAAUAUGCUUUUUUUUUUUUUUUUUUUUUUUUUUUGAGACGGAGUCUCGCUCUGUCGCCCAGGCUGGAGUGCAGUGGCGCGAUCUCGGCUCACUGCAAGCUCCGCCUCCCGGGUUCACGCCAUUCUCCUGCCUCAGCCUCCCGAGUAGCUGGGACUACAGGCGCCCGCUACCACGCCCGGCUAAUUUUUUUUGUAUUUUUAGUAGAGACGGGGUUUCACUGUGUUAGCCAGGAUGGUCUCGAUCUCCUGACCUCGUGAUCCGCCCGCCUCGGCCUCCCAAAGUGCUGGGAUUACAGGCGUGAGCCACCGCGCCCGGCCCCUAAUAUGCUUUUAAUUUUUUUUUAAAUGUCUCCAGAAGUCAGCGGGUGUCAACUGCAUACGAGCUUCCCAAAGACUCAAAACUCAGUUUAAAAAAAAAAUGUGAGUUUCCCUUUAUCUGUUCAGAAAAGAGCGUGGUGGGGGUGGGCGGCCCUCAGUGCCUGUUCUCCUGGGGAGAUGGUCUUCGGUAAGUGGAGCUCCCUUAGAGUCCUAAUCUGUCUCCUGAUUUGGGCUUUCACGAUUGACACACAUGCAGCUUUAGCCUUGUCUCCUGCUCACAGGGAAAAUUCUGCUCAUCUUGCUGCUCAGCUGCAGGGUGGUUCUGGGAGCAGCUGUCCCUCGGGGAGAUGGGUGAGGCCGUAUGAAUGCCAGCGAUGGAGAGAUAGCGAACUGUGUGGUGGAGGGAGAAACUGUUAACGUGCAGGAGGGCGCCGCCUUCAGUGGUGCAAGAAGUUUUCAACUGUCCUUGUCUUUCAAAAGACACUGUCUCAACAGAGUGUCAGCAACUUCUGAAGCCAUUUCAGGCUGUAUUUGUUAAUGACAUUUUAGAAUUCUUCCUGGGUGGGCUCUGCCCAGCUUCUGGUGGUUUAAAUAUUAGAAAUCAGACUGAUGUUGGUGCUGGGAGGAGAAGGAAUUAUGGAAAGACAACAUGAAGGGAAGUUCAGGAUUUGUGGCAAGUCUUGCCCAGGGAUUUGAGGCAAGCUGUGUAGGAUCUGGUUCAAUCGUUCUGUCUCAUACGGGGGAUAUGAUGGCUACCAUUCCUUGGAAUAUAUGCAUUUUCAGCAUUAGUACCCAGGAUUUUUUUUCCCCUGCUCUUAGAGUGUGUUGUUAAAAGUUAGUCGUAGUGAUGGUUUUAUUUUAAAAAUUCAAGGUUUUUUUUGUAGAGAUGAGGUCUCCUUAUGAUGCCCAGGCUGGUCUUGUCCUGGGCUCAAGCAGUCUUCCCACCUCAGCCUCCCAAAGUGCUGGAACUACAGGUGUGAGCCACUGCACCCAGCUUCGUUUUUAUGUUAUUAAUUGAAGAGUAUAUUUUCCCCCCACUAAAGUGGUAAUUUUCCAGACUACCUUUAAAGAAGAAUAAAACACCUUCCUCUUCCAGGCAGCUAAAUCUAAAUCUUGUAUUCUCUUUUAAAGCAACUCCUUAGCCAAAGACGUGGCAACUGCGGGUGAAGUAUCUCUGGGCAGGAAAUCAAUGCAGAAAUGCAACUGGGGAGAGGGGGCUUGGGGGCCAGUUCCAGGGAGAUUGGAACUGCUGUGUUCUCAUCAGCAGAAGUGGCCCCUGCCCACCCCCAUCCUAAUCCCUUCUCAUGUGGGAGAAGGUCUGUGAGCCCUCUCCCUACCAGGCAGGUUCUAUGGCAAUGUGGGCACAUACCCUGGGGCAGGGGCCGAGGGACUUAACUCACUUCAUGAGCGCCAAUGGAGGAGCGAAGGGAAUGCCUGAUGAAAACAACAUUCUACCAGUAUGCACUGUUUUCUAACCUACAGAGUGCCUCUGUGUUCACUGUCCCAUUUGAGAAUUCUAAGUAGAAUUCUGAACAGGCUGGAGCAGAUUGCCCACCCCAAGGGACAGAUGUUGGCUGGUACUGUUGGUAUUCAUGGAAGAUUCCUUCUGACACUCCCUCCUUCUUUGUAAUUGCCAUGAACUGGAGCACUGGGCCAAUAUAAAUCAUCCAAGGGUGAACACGCUGCACAUGGACGGCUCCUCUUUGUUUUUGAAGGGAUUCCAUCUCUAUUUUGCCAUGUGCUCCUUCACCCCACUCCCCACCCCCGUCUUUCAUUUCUUUCUCUGGAAAAGAUACUUCAACUCACAGGACUGCGAUGUUGAAACGGACACCCAAGAGCAUCACAGAUGGGCCAGGCCUGGACCUCUCGGGACAACAUUCCUCACGACUUUUAGAUAGAAGAGAUUAGAGAUUUGGGACUGGUGGCAACUGGUAACGUUUUCAGUGUUUGGUAAACAGCCAGGGUCCGGAGCUCUGGGAACAGCCUGAUUUAGCUCUUUGUUUAAGUUUUGUGUUAGAGGCUCCCAAGAAGCUGAUGCAGGGGAAAGAAAUUAACAACCAUGGCUCAUUCACAGCCAGGCAGCCAAAUGGACAGCUCUAUAAGACUCAAGCCGACAGCGGAGAGAGUGCAACCAAACAGCCUUGGCCCAGCUUUCAGAGGAGAACGUUAUUCACCCCAACUGCUCUGCAUCUGCCUGGAUGUCUGCCAAGAUCUGUGAGCAUUACAGCGUUGGUAUGCUUUGGGUGAGGCCUGUGGCUAUGGCAACAAGUUGGGAGCAACCCGGUCCCUGGGAAUGAGAACAGUGUCUAAAAUCAGGCAGGCGAGGGGCAGGGAGGAGAGGUAAAGGUUGGACUUGCCUGAAGAUGGAGCCGUUUUAUUGUUGUGGGUAAAGCUGCUACCAUUAGGGGCUGUUUACAGAGUGGGUGCAGCUCAAGCUGGGAGCAUGUUAGACUCAGCGACUACGAUCAACCUAUUGACUUGUUCCCAUGAGACAGAGUAAAUUAACUGUUGCAGUACUGGUCAUGUACCACCAACCUCCUGUGAACCAGCCCUCAGUGAAACAUUUAUGUGAAAGGCCAUGGUGUUCCCAUAAGAGGGUGCAUGUUCUCUCCCUUGACUAACUCUUCAGUAUGCCUCAUUCUCACGCGCUGGUGUGCAGGAAGGAGUCCAACAUGCCCCAUUGACAGUCAUGCCCUGUAUGUGGAAAGUCUUCAGGUAGAGCACUGGGCUCAGGUUUGAAGAUGUGAGUUCUAAUCCUAGCAAGGCCAUUACCUCCCAGUGACCUCAUGUCUCGAUUUCCUCAACCACAAAACAAAGGCAUUGGUGAGCUGACCUCUAAGGCCUCUCCAGUUCUCACCUUCUGUGUCUCUACAGACUGGAGACUAGAAGAUUAUGGGCACUUUUAUUGAGUCUUCAUUUUGUUUCCAUUUCUUUGUAGUCAUCAGCUGGAGUUGAGGACAAGUUUUAACAAUAGAUAGGUUUCUUUUUGUCUCUUUUUAAAAAAUUUUAUUUAAAAUAAAUGCCAAGUGUAGUGGCUCAUACCUGUAAUCCCAGCACUUUGGGGAGGCCAAGGUGGGAGGAUUGCUUUUGAGUUUGAGACCAGCCUGGGCAACGUGGUGAGACCCUGUUUGUACAAAAAAUUUUAAAUUAGCCAGGCAUGGUGGCGUGUGCCUAUAGUCCUAGCUACUCUGGAGGUAGAGGCAGGAGGAUCCCUUGAACCUGGGAGGUUGAGGCCACAGUGAGCUGUGAUUGUGCUAUUGAACUCUAGCCUGGGCAACAGAGCAAGACCCUGUCUCUUAAAAAAGACUAUUUUUUAAGAACACUUUUAGGUUCACAGCGAAAUUUGGAGGAAACUUGGCAUAUGUCAUAUGCCCCCUGCUCCCAUGCAUGCACAGCCUCUACCAUUAGCAAUGUCCCCACUCAAAUGGUACCUUUGUUGUAAUCAACAACCCUGUACUGACACAUCAUCAUCACCCAAACUCCAUAGUUCACAUUAGGUUUCACUCUUGGUGUGGUGUACAUUCCAUGGGCUUGAACAACUGUAUAAUGACAUUAUCCACCACUGCAGGAUCAUACAGAGUAGUCUCACUGCCCUAAAACUACUCUGUGCUCCACCUGUUUGUCCCUUCUUUCACUCUAAACUCCUGGCAACAACUGACCUUUUUACUGCCUCGAUAGCUUUGCCUUCUUCGGAAUGUCAUGUAGUUGAAAUCAUACAUCAUGAAGCCUUUUCAGAUUGGCUUCAUAUAGGUUUCCUUCCUUCCUUCCUCCCACCACCUUCCUUUCUUUCUGUAUUCCUAACUCUUGGAUGUAUUUUCCCCAGCAUCAUGACUUGAUGGGACUUUUGCUAAGAUAGGCAAUCAUAGAAAGUCAUAAAUCUCUUGUCAGCCUUAUUGGCUCACCUCCGAGAUGGUUCCAACACUCUUUAAGGCCCACUUUUCCAAUCCACAGAUUCCCCAGCAGAAGUCCAAGCUGCUGAGCCUCACAUCAUCUUUUGCACUAGUAAUCUUUACCACUACUUCACUGUAGCAUUUGAAAAUUUUCAUAUGAAGCCAUAGUUCUGUGUCUUUUUUUUUUUUUUUUUUUUUUUGGAGACGGAGUCUUAACCUGUUGCCCAGGCUGGAGUGCAGUGGCACAGUCUUAGCUCACUGCAAGCUCCGCCUCACGGGUUCAAGUGAUUCUUGCCUCAGCCUCCCAAGUAGCUGGGAUUACAGGCGCGCCACCAUGCCCAGCUAAAUUUGUUGGCAUUUUUAGUAGAGAUGGGGUUUCACCAUGUUGGCCAGGCUGGUCUCAAACUCCUUACCUCAGGUGAUCUGCCUGCCUCAGCCUCCCAAAGUGCUGGGAUUAAAGGUGUGAGCCACCGCACCUGGCCUGAAGCCAUAGUUCUUAACCUCAGUUGUGCAAUAGAAUUAUCUGGGGAAUUUAAAAAUUAGAAAAAACCCAUGCCCUGAAGAUUGUGAUCUAACUGGUCUUGCGUAGCGCCUGGGCAUUGGUAUUUUUUAAAUGUUUCCCAACUGAUACUAAUGUGGCCAUUCUGCAAGCCACAGUUGAAAGGCUUAUUCAAGCAUCCUGUUGCUGAAUGCAUGUCGUCCUUACCACAUGACUCUGGAGGUUUUCUUGUAUUCUGAUGUGGCUGCCCUGUUGAGGCCUGCCCCUUAGAGUGGAGAUUAUCCCCUGCAGUAGGCUGCCUGGAAUAUGAUCCCCAGUGAUCCCUGCUUCCUGGUAUUCAGGCCCUGGUGUGAUCCCUUUCCCUUGAAGCCUGGGCUGGAUUAGUGACUUGCUUCUAACCAACAGCAUAUGGCAAAAAUAAAUGUUUAUUGUUUUAAACCUCUGUUUUAGGGUCAUUUAUUACACAGCAAAGAUAACGAAUAUACUUUCUGAAAGAAGGGGAGGCUCUUUAGACAGGAACAUGUUCCUGUGGGAGCCACACCUUAUGUUGAUUUUGAAGAAUGGAGGGUCUAAUAAUGUGUCCCCAGGGGAAGUGAUAGGGGGGCCCAGACUGCUUGGGGCUGGAAAGGCAGGUGACAAAUAAGCAGAC